UCUGCCUUACAGCCCAUGCUCAGUACAUAUCCUAAUGAGGAAUUGGUCCCUGGCUGUCGUUGUCUCCACGCCCUUGAGUUGGACAAUGCUCCGUCCCAAGGAUGUGACAGAUUCUUUCAUUUAUGACUAUGCCACGCUCAGCCCAUCUAACCUCAAAUCUAACCUAAUCCUGGUGGCCCUCCCACCUUCCCAGCACACAGGAGCAAGCAGAGAACAUGGGCAGUCAAGUCAAAAGGAAAGGAUGGCCUACAGAUGCUGUUCUGUGAGGACAGUGUCCAAACCAGAAAGUCAAGAUGCCUCUUUGAGGAUCCGUCUGAAAACAAACAAAAUACGUGAAAUCCAGGAGAGCUGGAGUAGAAAACGCCGUGAAGGUAGCGUGGAGAGCAUCAGGGAGCAGCUGCUAUUUCAACACAGUGGGGACUUCGCACCUGGGCCUGAGGGAGCCUCACUGUUUCACUGAAUUUAUGUUCAUAUAUUUAUGAUAAUAAAUAUGUUCAUACACUUACGUUC
This 510-nucleotide long non-coding RNA is filed under the name Homo sapiens (human). RNAcentral describes it as "HSALNT0338518". The record is from RNAcentral. Lineage: Eukaryota; Metazoa; Chordata; Mammalia; Primates; Hominidae.